This 245-nucleotide ribosomal RNA is filed under the name uncultured bacterium. Its description in RNAcentral is "partial 16S ribosomal RNA". It matches the Rfam family "Bacterial small subunit ribosomal RNA", at positions 524 to 768 of the family's 1533-position model. The record is from RNAcentral.
UACGGGGGGGGCAAGCGUUGUUCGGAAUUACUGGGCGUAAAGGGUUUGUAGGUGGCCUGCUAAGUCGGACGUGAAAUCCCUCAGCUCAACUGGGGAACUGCGUCUGAGACUGGCGGGCUCGAGGGCCGGAGAGGAACGCGGAAUUCCAGGUGUAGCGGUGAAAUGCGUAGAUAUCUGGAGGAACACCGGUGGCGAAGGCGGCGUUCUGGACGGCACCUGACACUGAAAAACGAAAGCCAGGGGAG